UCCCUGGCAGUCCAGUGGUCAAGACUCUGGGCUCCCAACGCAGGGGGCACAGGUUCAAUCCCUGUUUGGGGAA
This 73-nucleotide transfer RNA is filed under the name Bos taurus (domestic cattle). It matches the Rfam family "tRNA". Rfam says of the family: Transfer RNA (tRNA) molecules are approximately 80 nucleotides in length. RNAcentral also lists the same sequence under 1 other name. The record is from Rfam by way of RNAcentral. Lineage: Eukaryota; Metazoa; Chordata; Mammalia; Artiodactyla; Bovidae.